AGAGCACACGUGUCAGCAUGUGAGCAAACCUCAAUUUUUUUUCUCUCUCUUUUCUCGAGUCUUCUUCUUCUCUCUUUGUUUUAUCCAACGACAAUGGCGAUCAAUCGGUUGAUCAACUCUACCUCCCUUCUCUCCCACCAUUGACGCCGCCGCCGUAGGAAAGGAGCUCUCUUUGGGCGGAGACUCCAUCGUCAAAGACUCAACGGAUGGCUUAACGACGGCAUUAAGGUGGAUUCUUAGUUGCCGUCCCGACCUACCUAUAAACCUCCUACAAAAACUCUUUCGUCUAAGACAGGUUAGAAAAGAAAUGCCUAUGAGCUGCGAUGGUGAUGAUUGCUUGAAGGUGCCAGCCAAGGAGUCAUUGAAAGGGUAAGUCUUAUUCUAGUCAUCUCAUGGUUAGGACAAGAACUGUUUUUUUUAGGAAGCUGAUGGUACUGAUUGUUUGAAGGUGGCAGCCAAAGAGUCAUUGAAUGUAGGAGAUAGAAUUUACCUUCCUUUAUCUGUAGGCAAUGAUGUGCCGCCUCCUGCUAAGAAAGCAAUUUAUGGAAGUGACAGAGCAAAGCUUAGACCCUGCUUGAUAUAUAUAGGAGAAUUAGUAGAUGAAAUGUAUUCGGUCAAGGCACUCUCUCUUUAGCUUCUUAACUGCUAUUUGCUAAGUUAGUUUAUAGUGGAUUGUAUGAGCAGAACUCAAAGUAGUUGCAAGCUGCGUUUUUUUUUAUUAAUGUAGCUUAUAAAUAUAAUUGACUGAUUUGUUCGA
Molecule: long non-coding RNA, 757 nt
Organism: Brassica rapa (field mustard)
Lineage: Eukaryota; Viridiplantae; Streptophyta; Magnoliopsida; Brassicales; Brassicaceae
Source: RefSeq, a predicted model, not a curated record